AGGGGAUUGCUGAGUUGGAUGGAUGUGUGGGGCUGCAGGGUUGGGACAGAGGUUGACGAGGAGCGGGGAGGGAGGGCACAGCCGAACAGCAGGGCAUUGUGCCCGAACACCAGGCACUGGGAGACACACUCAAACACAUUCACGGAUUCACACACUGACACAGUCGUGCACACAAGCGCAUGCUUCUGCCCACUGCCACACAGAUUCGCGCUGGCAUCUCGGAGGGCAGCCCCGUCUCCAGUCCAGUGCUGGGUGUUGAAGCUGAUCAGCCCUCUCUGCUGCACAGGUGUUGAAGAUCAGACUCUGACUGAAUCUGAAUCAGUGGUUAAAAGACUUGGAGAAUCCCACACACUGUCCUGUACAGGUUCUGGAUUCAGAUUCAGCAGCUACCAUAUGAACUGGGUCAGACAGGCUCCUGGUAAAGGACUGGAGUGGAUCGCUUUUGUGCACACAGGCAGUUCUUAUAUCUAUUACUCCCAGUCAGUCCAGGGUAGAUUCACCAUCUCCAGAGACGAUUCCAGCAGUAAAGUCUAUCUACAGAUGAACAGUGUGAGGACCGAGGACACAGCAGUGUAUUACUGUGCCAGACACACAGCGAGAGACAGAAAUAGAAGCGUCGUACAAAAACUACUUCCUCUAUUUACCACAAACACUGGAAACAUUCAGUUAACUCAGUGUCCUGCAUUAUGA
Molecule: non-coding RNA, 690 nt
Organism: Stegastes partitus (bicolor damselfish)
Lineage: Eukaryota; Metazoa; Chordata; Actinopteri; Pomacentridae
Source: the annotation of a RefSeq genome assembly